Molecule: long non-coding RNA, 964 nt
Filed under: Gossypium raimondii (Peruvian cotton)
Lineage: Eukaryota; Viridiplantae; Streptophyta; Magnoliopsida; Malvales; Malvaceae
Description: long non-coding RNA (GRAI_LNC004399)
Source: RNAcentral
AAUAAUAAUAAUAAUAAUAAUAAUAAUAAUAAUAAUAGUAUAACAUGAUUUUUUAAAACAAAAAUGAAGAACAAAUAAAAAAGUUAAAUUGAACUGAAAAAAGAAAAAAAAACUAAUAUUAAAAAUAAAUCUAAGAACAGGACCACAUUGAAUGCGCGUGCAAGUGUGGAGGACCAAAAGGGGAAUUAUCCCGUCCUUCCGAUGCGCUGCGCAACGAGGGACCUAAUUGAAACAAAAAGAAACACGCGGCCUAAAUUUAAAAAAAAACAAAAGGGGCUUGAUUGAUGCGUAUUAUAAAAGACAAGGACCAAAUACGAAAAUGUACCAUUUAGGCCCAAGACGCGCAGAUCCUCCCCGGGUCGGGUCACCGCGCGGGUAUAGCCCUAUACGGCGCCGUUUUAGGGCCACAGGUGCAGGCCCUAAACGACGCCGUUUUGCCAUCGUUACAAAACCCAAAAAUUUCCCUAAAACCACUUAUUUUCCUUUCUUUUUCUCGCCAAACAGCAGAGAAAUUCUCUGCCAAAGGGUUUUAUACCCUAACACACCCAUUUAACGCCACCGUUCAUCCUUCGCUUCAAGCCUCGGCCCUCCGCCAGUCCUCUGAUUCGAGCGCGGCGAUCGUGGGCUUCACCGGCGAAGCUUCGAAGGUAAACCCCUCACCCCUUUUUUAUUAUUUUAUUUAAAAAACGGAGAGAAAAAAAAUAAAUAAAUAAAUAGGAAAUAACGAAAAGAAAAACAGAAAUUCAAUUUCACCUUUUACAAAAAAUCUUUGUACUCAGUGUUUUCUUUCUAUUCCUUUUUGUGUAUUUUUCUCCCCCAUAUUUACAGAUUAAAUGGCCUUUUAUAGGCCGAAAAGAAAAUAAAAUAUUUUGCUUGUUUCUCGUUGCUGGACUCUUUGAGUUUGUUUUGGUUGCAGGUGUCGUGCGUGGAGCGACGUGGGGAGGCCGAAACGUGCUCAUGGAGG